CUUCACCGAGCCCAGCCACAACGGCAGCUGCGGAUCCCGGCCCUGGCCGUACGUGGCCAGUAACGCCUGCGCCUC
Molecule: antisense RNA, 75 nt
Filed under: Micromonospora rifamycinica
Lineage: Bacteria; Bacillati; Actinomycetota; Actinomycetes; Micromonosporales; Micromonosporaceae
Description: ASpks TB sRNA
Rfam family: ASpks TB sRNA
Source: RNAcentral